This 126-nucleotide ribosomal RNA is filed under the name Actinomyces bouchesdurhonensis. RNAcentral describes it as "partial 16S ribosomal RNA". It matches the Rfam family "Bacterial small subunit ribosomal RNA", at positions 1 to 122 of the family's 1533-position model. Lineage: Bacteria; Bacillati; Actinomycetota; Actinomycetes; Actinomycetales; Actinomycetaceae. The record is from RNAcentral.
UUGUUCGGAGAGUUUGAUCCUGGCUCAGGACGAACGCUGGCGGCGUGCUUAACACAUGCAAGUCGAACGCUGAAGCCUGGCUUUUGUUGGGUGGAUGAGUGGCGAACGGGUGAGUAACACGUGAGU